This 555-nucleotide ribosomal RNA is filed under the name Salmonella enterica subsp. enterica serovar Kentucky. Its description in RNAcentral is "bacterial SSU rRNA". It matches the Rfam family "Bacterial small subunit ribosomal RNA", at positions 960 to 1515 of the family's 1533-position model. The record is from RNAcentral. Lineage: Bacteria; Pseudomonadati; Pseudomonadota; Gammaproteobacteria; Enterobacterales; Enterobacteriaceae.
CGCGAAGAACCUUACCUGGUCUUGACAUCCACGGAAGUUUUCAGAGAUGAGAAUGUGCCUUCGGGAACCGUGAGACAGGUGCUGCAUGGCUGUCGUCAGCUCGUGUUGUGAAAUGUUGGGUUAAGUCCCGCAACGAGCGCAACCCUUAUCCUUUGUUGCCAGCGGUUAGGCCGGGAACUCAAAGGAGACUGCCAGUGAUAAACUGGAGGAAGGUGGGGAUGACGUCAAGUCAUCAUGGCCCUUACGACCAGGGCUACACACGUGCUACAAUGGCGCAUACAAAGAGAAGCGACCUCGCGAGAGCAAGCGGACCUCAUAAAGUGCGUCGUAGUCCGGAUUGGAGUCUGCAACUCGACUCCAUGAAGUCGGAAUCGCUAGUAAUCGUGGAUCAGAAUGCCACGGUGAAUACGUUCCCGGGCCUUGUACACACCGCCCGUCACACCAUGGGAGUGGGUUGCAAAAGAAGUAGGUAGCUUAACCUUCGGGAGGGCGCUUACCACUUUGUGAUUCAUGACUGGGGUGAAGUCGUAACAAGGUAACCGUAGGGGAACCUGC